CCUACGGGAGGCAGCAGUGGGGGAUAUUGCACAAUGGGGGGAACCCUGAUGCAGCGACGCCGCGUGGGUGAAGGAGUGCUUCGGCAUGUAAAGCCCUAUCGGCAGGGAAGAAGCAAGACGGUACCUGACUAAGAAGCCCCGGCUAACUACGUGCCAGCAGCCGGGGUAAUACGUAGGGGGCGAGCGUUAUCCGGAUCCACUGGGUGUAAAGGGAGCGUAGACGGCCAUGCAAGCUAGGGGUGAAAGCCCGGGGCCCAACCCCGGGACUGCCCUUGGAACUGUGCGGCUAGAGUGCGGGAGGGGCAGGCGGAAUGCCUGGUGUAGCGGUGAAAUGCGGAGAUAUCAGGAGGAACACCGGCGGCGAAGGCGGCCUGCUGGACCGCGACUGACGUUGAGGCUCGAAAGCGUGGGGAGCGAACAGGAUUAGAUACCCCAGUAGUC
RNAcentral lists this ribosomal RNA (441 nucleotides) under uncultured bacterium. RNAcentral's name for it is "partial 16S ribosomal RNA". It matches the Rfam family "Bacterial small subunit ribosomal RNA", at positions 338 to 795 of the family's 1533-position model. The record is from RNAcentral.